This 423-nucleotide ribosomal RNA is filed under the name uncultured bacterium. RNAcentral's name for it is "partial 16S ribosomal RNA". It matches the Rfam family "Bacterial small subunit ribosomal RNA", at positions 359 to 774 of the family's 1533-position model. The record is from RNAcentral.
GAAUUUUGGACCAUGGGCGAAAGCCUGAUCCAGCAAUGCCGCGUGCAGGAUGAAGGCCUUCGGGUUGUAAACUGCUUUUGUACGGAACGAAAAGCUUUGGGUUAAUACCCUGGAGUCAUGACGGUACCGUAAGAAAAAGCAACGGCUAAACACGUGCCAGCAGCAGCGGUAAUCCGUGGGGUGCAAGCGUUAAUCGGAACUACUGGGCGUAAAGCGUGCGCAGGCGGUUUUGUAAGACAGAGGUGAAAUCCCCGGGCUCAAACUGGGAACUGCCUUUGUGACUGCAAGGCUAGAGUACGGCAGAGGGGGGUGGAAUUCCGCGGGUAGCAGUGAAAUGCGUAGAUAUGCGGAGGAACACCGAUGGCGAAGGCAACCCCCUGGGCCUGUACUGACGCUCAUGCACGAAAGCGUGGGGAGCAAACA